CUUAAUAUAUAACGGCCCUAGCUGCCUGCAGCUACUACCAUCGUAUUUUGUUUUCAUUUAUAUAUACAGUACUGCAUUGCAUUUCCUAUAUAUCUAGCUAGGAAAAUUUAUAACGAGCACUAGCUGGGAUCAAUGCCUCAAGCGUUGCUGCACGGGACACUUCUGACAACCAUUUACGAAGUUGAUAGGAUAAACAAUGGCCUUGGCUUCAACGUCCUCCAAAAGUCUGGGAAAAGGUUUCUGUCCCAACUCAAGGGACUAGUGCUAGGCAGGCCUCCGAUUGUUGGAUCCAAGCUCUAUGCAACAGUUGAUUUAGAUAAGGCCAGGGUUGGGCGGACCAGAAUGGUAGAAAAUCAAGCCUCUCACCCCCAGUGGUUUGAGUCCUUCAGCAUAUAUUGUGCCCAUUAUAUCUCAUAUAUCAUAUUCACUGUCAAAAAAGAUAACCCUAUUGGGGCAACAUUAAUUGGAAGGGCUUAUGUGCCCGUUGGGGAUAUCAUGAGGGGAUUUAUGGUUGAUAGAUGGAUUGACAUACUAGAUGAAAACUACAACUCUAUACAUUCUAGAAUCCACGUCAAGCUUCAAUUUUUUAAUGUUGCCCAAGAUUGGUCUCAGCAAAUGAUAACUCCCGACUUUGAGGGAGUUCCUCGCACAUUCUUCAAGCAAAGACAAGGUUGCAAAGUUACUUUAUACCAAGAUGCCCAUGUCCAAGAUGUUAUGCCUAAGCUUUUGCCAUCCAUAGGAGGUAGUUAUAAGCCCCAAGGAUGCUGGGAGGACAUCUUUGACGCAAUCAGUACUGCAAGACACCUAAUUUACAUAUCUGGAUGGUCUGUGUAUACUGGGAUAACCUUGAUAAGGGAUCCUAAGAGGCCAAGGCAAGACGGCAACCUCACAUUAGGGGAUCUUCUUAAGAAAAAGGCUGAUGAAGGUGUCAUGGUUCUUAUGCUUGUCUGGGAUGACAGAACUUCUGUCGAGGAAUUGAAGAAGGAUGGUUUGAUGGCGACUCACGACCAAGAAACUAAAGAAUACUUUCGAAACACGAAGGUGCACUACUUUUUGUGCCCACGUAAUCCUGACAAUCGAAGAAGUAUAGUUCAAGGUUUUGAGAUCUCUACCAUGUUUACUCACCAUCAGAAGACAAUAGUUGUUGAUAGGGAAGUGCCUGAUGGAGGAUCACAAAAGCGGAGGAUUGUGAGUUUUAUCGGUGGUAUUGAUCUCUGUGAUGGGAGAUAUGAUACAAUAGAACAUCCUUUAUUCAGUACUUUGAAGACAAUUCACCAUGAUGACUUCCAUCAGCCAAAUUUUGCAACUUCUUCAAUCAAGAAAGGUGGUCCAAGGGAGCCUUGGCAUGACAUUCAUUGCCAACUAGAGGGGCCUGUUGCUUGGGAUGUCUUGUACAAUUUUGAGCAAAGAUGGAAAAAGCAGGUUGGGGAUAAGUUCCUAAUUAAACUACAUCAACUUGAUGAAAUCGUAAUCCAACCAACACCUGCUACCUCAUUAGAUGAUACUGAAACAUGGAAUGUUCAAAUCUUUCGAUCCAUUGAUGGUGGGGCCGUUUUCGGUUUUCCUGAAAAACCUGAUAUUGCAUAUACAGUAGGGCUUGUUAGUGGGAAAGAUCACAUCAUCGAUCGAAGCAUUCAAGAUGCAUAUAUCAAUGCUAUUCGGCGAGCCAGAGACUUCAUCUACAUUGAGAACCAGUAUUUUCUAGGAAGCUCGUUCGGCUGGAGCCCAAACGACAUCAAGGUGGAGGACAUUGGUGCUUUGCACCUCAUUCCAAAGGAGCUCUCACUAAAGAUUGUUAGUAAGAUCGAAGCAGGGGAGAGGUUUGCUGUUUAUAUUGUGAUCCCAAUGUGGCCAGAAGGUAUACCUGAGAGUGCUUAUGUUCAAGCAAUAUUGGAUUGGCAGAGAAGGACUAUGGAAAUGAUGUAUUCUGACAUCACUAAAGCCUUGCAAAAAAAGGGACUUGAUGAAGACCCUCGGGACUAUCUGAAUUUCUAUUGCCUUGGGAAUCGAGAGACAAUGAAAGAGGAAGAGUAUAUACCUCCAGAGAGACCAGAACCUAACACAGAUUAUAGUAGAGCUCAAGAGGCUCGUCGCUUCAUGAUAUAUGUCCAUGCAAAAAUGAUGAUAGUUGAUGAUGAAUACAUAAUCAUUGGAUCUGCCAACAUCAACCAGAGGUCAAUGGAUGGAGCAAGAGACUCUGAGAUUGCAAUGGGGGCAUUCCAACCACAUCAUUUAGCCUCCACAAACCCAGGUAGGGGGCAAAUCCACGAAUUCAGGAAUGCCUUGUGGCUUGAGCACCUUGGAGGAUUUCAGGAGUCCUUUCGACAUCCCGAAAGCAAGUUAUGCAUCUCUCUAGUGAACAGUCUUGCUCAGCAAUAUUGGGAUUUAUAUGUGGGAGAGACAUUCCAUGAUAUAGAAGGUCACUUGCUACCAUACCCCAUCCAACUUACUAUUGAUAUGGGAAAUACUAAAGUACUGCCCUUACCUGGCUUCGAACUCUUCCCUGACACCAAGGCUCGUGUUAUGGGUGCAAAAUCUGAUUACCUUCCUCCAAUCCUCACCACUUAAUUAGUGGCAUGCCCAUCAAAGUACGUACUGAUAUACGUACACGUACGCCUAUAAUAUUAUAUUCGUACAGUAUUCAUAUAUUAAUGGAAGGACAGUUGCUACACGGGACACUUUCGGCUACCGUAUUCGAACUUCAAAGGACGCCCCAACAGCCACAGCAAGGAUGCUUUGCAAAGUUUUUACUUGGCCUUGGAGUGGUCGUAUGGGAGGAGACGAGGCAUUGCAGUUUAUAAACAUAAUGUCUUUUCACAGGCCAAACUUAACCAAACCCAACCACAUAUAUGCAGCCUCACUUCCAACUAAACAAAUUCUGAUAUUUGCUCCUCAUACAACUUCACUUCCAACUAAACAAAUUCUAAACAAAUUCUGGUCUUUACUAAGGAUCAAGCAAAUUGUCAUAGGUGAAUAAGGAUCAAGCAGAUUCUGUUCUUCUCUUCUCUUCCAUUUUCCCCUUUUACUGUUUUUUUAUGUUUACUGCUGGUUUUUACUUGUGAUGAUUUGUUUUCAGCUGAUUUCCCAGUUCUGUGAGGUGUUCUUGGGUGAGGAUCAACUGCACAUUCCUAGCUCUUAUCUUAGUAAGUGUAUGGUAUUAUUUAUUUCUUUCUAUAUAUUUGGGAUACAUCUUUUUGUAAUUUUAAAAAUAUUUACUGCUUAUGAAAAGACUAAUUUAGUAGAAGUAUUUCAGUCAAAAAAAUUUUAAAAAGGGAAUAGAUUUCACUUGUUGGUUGUUCAAUCCACCGCAUUGCUAAUUUGCUAUCUUGGGGUAAACAAGUAGGAAUAAGUGAAAAGGAUGAACACAUAGCAAAAGCAGUGGGAUUGAACAACUUUGGCCAGGUUUUAGUUGCUGCCGAGUCUUUCUAAAGGAUGCCUUGACAUGGCUUGGCUAAUCUGAAGAGAUACAUCUAAUUAUUUGUUCAUGCAUACUGUCAUCUUAUUAAACAUUUUAUCACUUCCAGACUUCCAGCAUAAUUUGCCAUUUUUAAUUUUUUUUUAUUUUUUUUAUCGUUAUUGACUUCAUUUCCUCUUGUUUCCUUUUAUUCAUCCAUUUUUUGUUUUUAAUAUUGGCAGGGAGAUUGUGAGCUGCCAGUACUGCAAAGGUGAGUUUGCGACUUCUCAUAAGGCCUUUUCUUUUUGUACUUAAUUCAUUUCUCAUGCAGUUUAUAAACAAUUUAUUUAAAUAUUAGUUUUUUUUUUUUCCAUUUUAUUUUUUGGUAGUUGCUGCUUAUAUAUUUUUGAAUUUGUAGUUGUCUCUCCUCAUCAUCAUGAAUUCCUAUGCACUUCACUUAGCAACCUAGAUUGUUUGCUGAACUUUAUUAUAUUUGUACAACUACCAAAUUGUUGCCAAGUUUUGAAAAAAAUUACAAAGUGCAGUUUUUAAAUGUUAGGAUAUUACACAAAUUGGUGCUGCUUUUGCUGUAUUUGUAUGUUCAUGGAUAUUCUUCUAUUAAUGGCUAUAUAUACAGAUUUCCCCAAUUAACAGGACACGCCUAAUUACAAAACCCUAAUAACACAAACACAAUCACAAAAAUCUUAAAUUAAAAAUCCUAAUAAAA
Juglans regia (Persian walnut) is the source of this 4121-nucleotide RNA transcript. It is a transcript of the gene named phospholipase D alpha 1-like, with no coding region annotated. The transcript has 7 exons. The record is from RefSeq and is a predicted model, not a curated record. Lineage: Eukaryota; Viridiplantae; Streptophyta; Magnoliopsida; Fagales; Juglandaceae.